This 441-nucleotide ribosomal RNA is filed under the name bacterium Urfm82. Its description in RNAcentral is "bacterial SSU rRNA". It matches the Rfam family "Bacterial small subunit ribosomal RNA", at positions 18 to 456 of the family's 1533-position model. The record is from RNAcentral.
CAUGGCUCAAGACGAACGCGGCGGCGUGCUUAACACAUGCAAGUCGAACGCUGAAGCUUGGUGCUUGCACUGGGUGGAUGAGUGGCGAACGGGUGAGUAAUACGUGAGUAACCUGCCCUUGACUCUGGGAUAAGCCUGGGAAACUGGGUCUAAUACUGGAUACGACGGCGCAUCGCAUGGUGUGUUGUGGAAAGGGUUUUACUGGUUUUGGAUGGGCUCACGGCCUAUCAGCUUGUUGGUGGGGUAAUGGCUCACCAAGGCGACGACGGGUAGCCGGCCUGAGAGGGUGACCGGCCACACUGGGACUGAGACACGGCCCAGACUCCUACGGGAGGCAGCAGUGGGGAAUAUUGCACAAUGGGCGGAAGCCUGAUGCAGCGACGCCGCGUGAGGGAUGACGGCCUUCGGGUUGUAAACCUCUUCAGCACGAAGAAGCGAGAG